AUUGAACGCUGGCGGCAGGCCUAACACAUGCAAGUCGAACGAGCGGCGGACGGGUGAGUAAUGUAUGGGAAACUGCCCGAUGGAGGGGGAUAACUACUGGAAACGGUAGCUAAUACCGCAUACUAUCGGUUGUUCCCAGAUGGGAUUAGCUAGUAGGUGGGGUAAAGUCUCACCUUGGCGACGAUCCCUAGCUGGUCUGAGAGGAUGAUCCGCCACACUGGGGAUGAGAGAGGGUCGAAAAGCUUACGCGAGGCGGCAGUGAGGAAUAUUGAACAAUGGGGGCAAGCCUAAUGCAGCAAUGCCGCGUGUAUGAAGAAGGCCGUCGGGUUGUAAAGUACUUUCAGCGGGGAGGCGUUACCCGCAGAAGAAGCACCGGCUAACUCCGUGCCAGCAGCCGCGGUAAUAC
Molecule: ribosomal RNA, 406 nt
Filed under: uncultured bacterium
Lineage: Bacteria
Description: partial 16S ribosomal RNA
Rfam family: Bacterial small subunit ribosomal RNA
Source: RNAcentral